RNAcentral lists this small RNA (47 nucleotides) under Candidatus Electrothrix aarhusensis. Its description in RNAcentral is "Candidatus Electrothrix aarhusiensis Acido-Lenti-1 RNA". The record is from RNAcentral. Lineage: Bacteria; Pseudomonadati; Thermodesulfobacteriota; Desulfobulbia; Desulfobulbales; Desulfobulbaceae.
CCCAGCGUUAAAACGCUGGGCUAUUGGCGGGCUGUCCCUCCGGGACG